This is a long non-coding RNA of Photinus pyralis (common eastern firefly), 1021 nucleotides long. RefSeq lists it as uncharacterized. The transcript has 5 exons. NCBI's taxonomy places the organism in Eukaryota, Metazoa, Arthropoda, Insecta, Coleoptera, Lampyridae. The record is from RefSeq and is a predicted model, not a curated record.
CAUUGCGCUUUAUGCGAGUGGAGUGUUUGUUUCGUGCUUCCUCAAAGGAUCAAGACAAAACGAAUAAAGGAUAUUGGAAAUGUGUGACGUGUGAGUGUGCCGCGUGUGGUUGUGCCGCGUUUCGUUCUGCAGUGGAUGAUGGUUUUCCCUAGGCGGGACCGAAUUAAUAAGGCUAAAGGAUUUCAGAAGGGCAGCCUUAUAAAGGUAGGAUUUUUUCUUUUUGCAUGCGGGUGUAGGGUUUAUUGCAUUUUUUAUUUUCUGUAUAUAGCAGUGAGGGGGGGAAGUGAAUAGUGCAUCGUAACAAUAAGGUAAGGUAAGGUAUUAAUAUUGGCUGACCUUCGUAUGUUACUACUAAGUGAGUUGUGGUGGUCUUCUAAUCCAUCUCAGUGACGUAAGAGUGGCUCCAACGAAUCUUCGUGAAGUGCAGAACCAAUCAAUUUACUUCAUAAGAAUCAGUAUUCUUAGCCAUACCAGUUCUGUUAAGUAAACGGAUUGUUUCUGCAAAUCAGACUAUGUAGAAGUGACGCAGCCAUUUCUUUCGUUUCGAAGUUGAGGGGUUUCGAAGAUUUCCAUACCUCGCUUAGUAUCACUUGAAGAUCAGCUUAACGAUUUUUUUAUAAUAAAAAAAGGUAAGUGCGACUGAAUCACCAUAAGCGCGUUCGUCUACUACUGAGUUGGUUUUCAUACUUUUUUAAUAAACGAACGCGCUGAAAAUUGAUUCUAACAAGUAUACUGGGCCUAACGGUCCUACUUAUUGAUCUUUUCCAUUGUUCACAGUGCGGGCCCUGCAUCCACUGUCAAAACGAUCAACCCGCGGCCCGGUUUCAGAAUGACAUGGAUAUCGCUCAAACGAGCGAGUAUUGGGGAAUGGAGAAAGAUGUUCACCACCCGUUGUGAGGUUCUUGACAGGCGAGAUCGAAUUAAUAAAGCUAAGGAUUCCAGAAGGCCAGCCUUAUUAAGGUAGGAUUUUCUUUUUUCUAUGCAUGGGCAUUUUCUUUUUUAUGUAUUUAGGAGUGCAGUG